Molecule: ribosomal RNA, 406 nt
Filed under: uncultured bacterium
Lineage: Bacteria
Description: partial 16S ribosomal RNA
Rfam family: Bacterial small subunit ribosomal RNA
Source: RNAcentral
AUUGAACGCUGGCGGCAGGCCUAACACAUGCAAGUCGAACGAGUGGCGGACGGGUGAGUAAUGUCUGGGAAACUGCCCGCUGGCGGGGGAUAACUACUGGAAACAGUAGAUAAUACCGCAUACCAUCGGAUGUGCCCAGAUGGGAUUAGCUAGUAGGCGGGGUAAUGGCGCACCUAGGCGACGAUCCCUAGCUGGUCUGAGAGGAUGACCAGCCACCCUGGAACUGAGACACGGUCCAGACUCCUACGGGAGGCAGCAGUGGGGAACAUUGCACAAUGGGCGCAAUCCUGAUGCAGCCAUGCCGCGUGUAUGAAGAAGGCCUUCGGGUUGGAAAGGACUUUCAGCGAGGAGGCGUUACUCGCAGAAGAAGCACCGGCUAACUCCGUGCCAGCAGCCGCGGUAAUUC